GUCCAGACUCCUACGGGAGGCAGCAGUGGGGAAUAUUGCACAAUGGGGGAAACCCUGAUGCAGCGACGCCGCGUGAGUGAAGAAGUAAUUCGUUAUGUGAAGCUCUAUCAGCAGGGAAGAAAAUGACGGUACCUGAGUAAGAAGCCCCGGCUAACUACGUGCCAGCAGCCGCGGUAAUACGUAGGGGGCAAGCGUUAUCCGGAUUUACUGGGUGUAAAGGGAGCGUAGACGGCGAUGCAAGCCAGAUGUGAAAGCCCGGGACUCAACCCCGGGACUGCAUUUGGAACUGUGUGGCUGGAGUGUCGGAGAGGCGGGCGGAAUUCCUAGUGUAGCGGUGAAAUGCGUAGAUAUUAGGAGGAACACCAGUGGCGAAGGCGGCCUGCUGGACGAUGACUGACGUUGAGGCUCGAAAGCGUGGGGAGCAAACAGGAUUAGAUACCCUGGUA
Molecule: ribosomal RNA, 446 nt
Filed under: uncultured bacterium
Lineage: Bacteria
Description: bacterial SSU rRNA
Rfam family: Bacterial small subunit ribosomal RNA
Source: RNAcentral